AACGCACAUUGCGCCCUUUGGUAUUCCUUAGGGCAUGCCUGUUCGAGCGUCAUUUCAACCCUCAAGCGCAGCUUGGUGUUGGGCGCCCGUCCCGCCCCGCCCGGGGCGCGGACCCGCCUCAAAUGCAUUGGCGGCCGGUACCUUGGCUUCGAGCGCAGCAGAAACGCGGACUCGGGGCCUCGGGGCCGAUCCCCCAGAAGCCAUCUCACUAUGGUUGACCUCGGAUCAGGUAGGGAUACCCGCUGAACUUAA
RNAcentral lists this unclassified non-coding RNA (252 nucleotides) under uncultured Pleosporales. RNAcentral describes it as "sequence contains 5.8S rRNA gene, ITS2, 28S rRNA gene". The record is from RNAcentral. Lineage: Eukaryota; Fungi; Ascomycota; Dothideomycetes; Pleosporales.